RNAcentral lists this long non-coding RNA (349 nucleotides) under Sorghum bicolor (sorghum). Its description in RNAcentral is "long non-coding RNA (SBIC_LNC015547)". The record is from RNAcentral. Lineage: Eukaryota; Viridiplantae; Streptophyta; Magnoliopsida; Poales; Poaceae.
CAGCAGCUAGCACCUAACACAACGAGAAUAAUAUACCACCAACCUAGAAAGUCCACUUCCAGAUCUUGACGCGGACUCUGACCUUGCACGAGUGCGCCGCCGUGCUCACCGUCGCCGCCGUCCUCGUCGUCGCCGCGUCCGCAGCCGGCGCCGGCGCCGGCGCGAGUGCUACGGUGCUGUUCUUCCCCUUCACCCUCUUCGGCGCCGGCGCCGGCGCCGGCGGGGGAGGCGUCACCUUGAUGCCCUCGCAGUGGACCUGGAUGCCGAUCUUCUUCGUCUUGAGCCCGCCCACCCUGACGCCGGCGCUGGUGUCCGCGUCCACCACCACUGAGAACGCGCCGGACCUCUU